RNAcentral lists this non-coding RNA (244 nucleotides) under Limosilactobacillus frumenti. RNAcentral describes it as "Lactobacillus frumenti T-box sequence". It matches the Rfam family "T-box leader". Rfam says of the family: Uncharged tRNA acts as the effector for transcription antitermination of genes in the T-box leader family. T-boxes are found upstream of many aminoacyl-tRNA synthetase genes and some amino acid biosynthetic genes usually in Gram-positive bacteria. The anticodon of a specific tRNA base pairs to a specifier sequence within the T-box motif, and the NCCA acceptor tail of the tRNA base pairs to a conserved bulge in the T-box antiterminator hairpin. The record is from RNAcentral. Lineage: Bacteria; Bacillati; Bacillota; Bacilli; Lactobacillales; Lactobacillaceae.
UCGAUCGCAAUGAGAAAGAAGAGUACGUUAAGUAAUAGCUCUAAGCGAGUCUCGGUUGGUGAAAGGAGACAGUUCCCUACUUAACAGAAAAUCACUUUCGAGCUUGAAUCUUAACCUUAUUAGUAAGAUUCAAUGGUAAACGCCCAUUAUCGCGUCUGCGUAUCGCUGUUUAGCCGUACGUGAAAGGUGUCAGUAGUAAUAUUGGCAUAAAGAUAGGGUGGUACCACGCUCAAGCGUCCCUUAG